Molecule: ribosomal RNA, 397 nt
Filed under: uncultured bacterium
Lineage: Bacteria
Description: partial 16S ribosomal RNA
Rfam family: Bacterial small subunit ribosomal RNA
Source: RNAcentral
AUACGUAGGGGGCGAGCGUUGUCCGGAAUGAUUGGGCGUAAAGGGCGCGUAGGCGGCCCGGUAAGUCUGGAGUGAAAGUCCUGUUUUUAAGAUGGGAAUUGCUUUGGAUACUGUCGGGCUUGAGUGCAGGAGAGGUAAGUGGAAUUCCCAGUGUAGCGGUGAAAUGCGUAGAGAUUGGGAGGAACACCAGUGGCGAAGGCGACAUACUGGACUGUAACUGACGCUGAGGCGCGAAAGUGUGGGGAGCAAACAGGAUUAGAUACCCUGGUAGUCCACACUGUAAACGAUGAAUGCUAGGUGUUGCGGGUAUCGACCCCUGCAGUGCCGGAGUAAACACAAUAAGCAUUCCGCCUGGGGAGUACGGCCGCAAGGUUGAAACUCAAAUGAAUUGACGGGG